This 253-nucleotide ribosomal RNA is filed under the name uncultured bacterium. RNAcentral's name for it is "partial 16S ribosomal RNA". It matches the Rfam family "Bacterial small subunit ribosomal RNA", at positions 524 to 776 of the family's 1533-position model. The record is from RNAcentral.
UACGGAGGGGGUUAGCGUUGUUCGGAAUUACUGGGUGUAAAGGGUGCUCAGGCGGGUUUGUAAGUCAGAGGUGAAACUCCGAAGCUUAACUUCGGAACUGCCUUUGAUACUGCAAUCCUGGAGUUUGAGAGAGGCGAGUGGAAUAUCUGGUGUAGCAGUGAAAUGCGUAGAUAUCAGAUAGAACACCAAUGGCGAAGGCAGCUCGCUGGCUCAUAACUGACGCUAAAGCACGAAAGUGUGGGUAGCAAACAGG